Molecule: ribosomal RNA, 253 nt
Filed under: uncultured bacterium
Lineage: Bacteria
Description: partial 16S ribosomal RNA
Rfam family: Bacterial small subunit ribosomal RNA
Source: RNAcentral
UACGGAGGGGACUAGCGUUGUUCGGAAUUACUGGGCGUAAAGCGCACGUAGGCGGAUUUGUAAGUCAGGGGUGAAAUCCCGGGGCUCAACCUCGGAACUGCCUUUGAUACUGUCAGGCUAGAGGUAGGUAGGGGAGAUCGGAAUUCCUGGUGUAGCAGUGAAAUGCGUAGAUAUCAGGAGGAAUACCGAUGGCGAAGGCAGGUCUCUGGGCUGACACUGACGCUCAUGCACGAAAGCGUGGGGAGCAAACAGG